Haliotis rubra (blacklip abalone) is the source of this 2535-nucleotide long non-coding RNA. RefSeq lists it as uncharacterized. NCBI's taxonomy places the organism in Eukaryota, Metazoa, Mollusca, Gastropoda, Lepetellida, Haliotidae. The transcript is spliced from 2 exons. The record is from RefSeq and is a predicted model, not a curated record.
AAUACACUAUAUAUGGUGGUAGAGCGAACUGUAUUUCUUUUCUAAGAUGCCAAAUAUAAUACUUUCUAAGUAUAAUUACGAUUAAUCUAAGGCGACCUAAAUUAAGAAACUGACGCACUGCUCUAUUGACGUCACUGCCAUUGUGACGUAAAUCAAAAAGUGCACAUUAUCGUCUGAUAAAGUACUGUCGGCGCCUUUGAUCUUUCAUCGGAGCAUCUUAGAUUAUAUCUUAUCCAGCCCUAAUGUGUGUUUUAUUGCUGCCAAAACCUGCCAAUCUAUCCUUUCUAAACGUGAGUGUUAUGUGUAUGCACAGGCAUAUGUAUGUAAUACCUAAUCCAGCUUUAUAAUUUAAUUGCUUAUGUUCAUUAUAACAUUUUUCGUUUUAUACAAUAAUAUUUUAUCUUUGUGUACAUUUUACAGAACUUAAUCUCUCAUUAUUCCUUACAGGAGCGGCUUAAUCUUCUAUUGCUUUUUUGUAUUGUAUCUAUAUUGUAUUGUAUCUAUAUUGUAUUGAGAUGAGACUUUCAUAAACAAUCUAUCUUUCUGUCUACAAUGUGCACGUAACGUCACUCGUGGAAUAGUUAAAACCAGAUACGAACUUUAACAAUAGCAUUCAUUUAUACUGAUUGAUUGUUAAUUAAAAAGGUCGGCUCUAGAGUAGAGGUAUAAUGUGUCUUUUGUCAGCAGUAUGAAUAUCAUCAGUAAUAAUAUAUCCCCGCGUCAGACAUAUGAUCGAUUCUUUUAUCAGACAGUAAUUGAUUGGUCAUUAGGCCUGGUAAGAGGAAUAUUAUGUCAUAUUGCACAUGAAAAAUCAAGUUCUGAUAUCAAAACAUCUUCGUACAGGAAACCUUGUACUGAUUGUGUCGGUUACUGCCUCCGCUGUGGUUGUAGUUGCUGGCAUUGUCAUUGGAGUAGUUGUCUGGAAGAGGAAACAAAGAGAUCAACCGAAGAUCUCAGAUCAAGCUGUACGCUACAACAUAGGUUCAUAUGAAAACAUUAAACCUGCAAAAACAACACCUGAAGACAACAAUCGUCAGUUCGAUGACAUGACGUAUGACAAGCUUGAUGUCAACUUACGCGAUAGAGGUCCUGAUGAAGAACCAUACUGUUCCAUACAGACUCGUCGAUCGGACGAGACAAACAUAUAUGAAUGUAUUGAUAGCAUUUGCGAAACUCCACAAGUUAUGUCCAGCAUGACAUCGAGUGGCAUACGUGAAGAACAUUGAAUACCGGAUUACGGUCACAAACAUCACUCAUAUGCAUAUACUUUUUUAAAAAUUAUACAAAUCUAUAGUUUCAACAAAUACUUGCGUAGACCCGGGUUGAAAAUCAUCUUCAGCAGUCCAUGCAUGUCGUAAAAGAGGACUGACAGUUCGGGUAGUCAAACUUAUUUAACUGGUUGAUCGAUACCCAUGAUGCCAGUCACUGGAUUACCGUCAUAUAGCUGGAAUCUUGCUGGGUGCUGCGUUAGAUAAAGAUUCAUGAAACAACAAAGAAAACAAUUGUUAAAGGAACAUUGUCACUGCGAGGAUAUAGACCUAGCAUCCUCCAGCAAACACAUGACUGUACAUGUGAGGGGUACGACUCAAGUUCCGCAAGUCCAAAAUUCGCAAAAGGGAAUGUGACAAGCAUUUACAUAUACCCUUCGUCUGUUUGAUUUAAUAGAAUUAUCUCGCUUUUGACAAGAUUGGAAUAAUCAUUUUGCAGCAAAGGGUAUUUGUCAGUAUUCGAGCCUUUUAACUCCUGAAGCCAAAUUCAAAUUGUCAAACAUUCCUGAAUAUAAUUUGACCUUACAGAGCUCGAAUUGUCAGCAACAAAUGUUUUGUUAUUUUUUUCGAAACAUAUCCAACCCCUCUAUAAAUAUGCCUCGAAAAUAAAAAAUAUUAAUCACAGCCAUUGUCACACCUUUCUGGUUAUUGUUGGAACUUCCCGAUGAAUGUAGGGUGAUUAACACACACGUGGUCGUGAUGCUCAGCUAUCAUAUGACAUUGUUUUACUUUGAAUUACAUAAGUAAAAAUGGGAAUACUGACAUUUAGAUUGAAACAUGCAUCAUGUUAAACAAACGUAUGCGUUGUAAAUUUAUAUUUUCGUAUUUAUGACGUUAUGGUUGUGCUUCAUUUCACUACUAUCUAUUGACCAAAAUAUGGAUCAUGUUCUUUAUACUUGACAAAUAUAUAUUUCAGGAUUUUAUAAUUUCUCACAUCAAAGAAUAAUUCUUUUAUUGAAACCGUCCGACUCCGAUGAUUGAUGAGAUGAGAGCGUGAUUCUACACUAUGCAAUUUAUCUGCAGUUGGAGAUGUGUUUGUCGGAGUGCCAUUAUGCUUCAACUACCAUUACAUCCCAUACAACUGUCACAUGUUGCCUCAUCUGUGCAAAUCAAUAAAAUAAUAAUGUGAGUGCAGAUUCAUUGAUAAUUUAAAUACAGUACGUUAGUGCAACUAAAUCACACAAAAAUGUAGACAUCUUGAUCGUCAUUAAAUAGUUACAUAUUGUAUGCCAAAUUAUAAUACAAAAUAUAAAUAUUCUUGCACAAC